AAAAUUGUUUGAUACCUAGCUCAAAAUGCUUACGUGGUUCACCCCAAAUCAAUAACCCUUUUCAACUCACAAACGGGGAGUCACUACCCUAAUUUGAUUUCCUCAACUUUGCAGCGCUGAGUGUCAUGGGGUUCCAGCUCCUAGAUAGAGACACCGUCGAAGACCAUGGAAUCCACGUUGUUGACGUGCUCGCUCUUCCAUUUCUAAGACAUUCGGCCGCUUGUCAUUGACUCGUAGCUACUACCGCCCAUCUUCUCAGACCAAAUCUGGAGAAAACUCAGCUUAAAGUGAGAGGAAAGAAUUAUGGAGUUUGUCAUAGCUGUAGACUAAAUGGUCAUUUUUUCGCGGAAUGCCCGAACAAACGACCCUGCCCAUGGUGCAAACAUGCCUUUUUGAAGUGCUUCGAGGUGGAGAAGAACACCGACAACAAAGGUAAACUAUUCAAUACGUGCAGCAUGAAAUGUGGUUAUUGAGAGUGGGUGAAAAAGGAGGAAAGGGUGCUGAAUCAAGCUCAGUCACCAGGACACCAGAUUUGUCUUGCAUUUUCGAAACACGAUGCCGAUUAACUGAUGAACAAGAAAUGGAGAUUGCUAUGAAUGUGACUAUAUGCAAAGGAAGAGAGCACAUCACUAAAUGGGUUAAGAAUGGAAAUUCAUCAGCCUUAGCUAAAGCAUUGUCAUUCGACUGGGAUUGUAAUUUGAAUUAUUUAAAUAUAAGGAUUUGUAAACUUGAUCUCAGGUAUUAUGGAAGCUAGGAUGUUAGAAUUAUGUGUGUAUGUGUAUGUUUAAUUAGAUGGAGUUUUUGGUAAAGCCUUUGAAUUUACUGGGAAUGGUUUGAUGAUUUAGUUGAUGGGUUUUUGGGAUACCCGUUAGUGAUACAAGAUUUCCCUUUCCAUCUAGAAAAAUUUAUAUAUUUACCAUCUUUGGCUAUUCAAUUUGUUCAAAUGUUCCUUU
Molecule: long non-coding RNA, 953 nt
Organism: Olea europaea var. sylvestris
Lineage: Eukaryota; Viridiplantae; Streptophyta; Magnoliopsida; Lamiales; Oleaceae
Exons: 2
Source: RefSeq, a predicted model, not a curated record